RNAcentral lists this ribosomal RNA (253 nucleotides) under uncultured bacterium. Its description in RNAcentral is "partial 16S ribosomal RNA". It matches the Rfam family "Bacterial small subunit ribosomal RNA", at positions 524 to 776 of the family's 1533-position model. The record is from RNAcentral.
UACGUAGGGUGCGAGCGUUGUCCGGAAUUACUGGGCGUAAAGAGCUCGUAGGUGGUUUGUCGCGUUGUUCGUGAAAACCGGGGGCUUAACCCUCGGCGUGCGGGCGAUACGGGCAGACUUGAGUACUGCAGGGGAGACUGGAAUUCCUGGUGUAGCGGUAGAAUGCGCAGAUAUCAGGAGGAACACCGGUGGCGAAGGCGGGUCUCUGGGCAGUAACUGACGCUGAGGAGCGAAAGCGUGGGGAGCGAACAGG